Helianthus annuus (common sunflower) is the source of this 4422-nucleotide long non-coding RNA. RefSeq lists it as uncharacterized. Lineage: Eukaryota; Viridiplantae; Streptophyta; Magnoliopsida; Asterales; Asteraceae. The transcript has 11 exons. The record is from RefSeq and is a predicted model, not a curated record.
AGGCCACAAGGGCUAUUCUUAGCCAAUCAUUUUGAUGAUGUGGACAACCUCUUUGGCAAGAUAAUGGAACUUUGAGCGGCAAUUUCUUUUCUCCAAUUCUCCUUUCUCACUACGCUACCCUUCACACGCUCUCUCUCCGAUCAAUUCAAUGUUGCCAAAAUUAUGAGUUCUUUUCUAUUUCAAAUCAAAAAACCCUAAAUGUUAAGCAAUCAUCUUACAAUCCAAUUCGGUUCCUAUCAAAAGCUUUUCCUUUCAUAUAUACUUCUGUAUACAACCCUAUCACGAUCUAACUGAAGUGGCCUCCUCUCCAUUACACACCCCCGUUUUCUUGAAAUUUCUCUCAUCGUCUCUCUUCAAGAAACCUCAAAUCAAAAAUCGGGUGUUGAAUUUUGGGGACAAAUUGAAGAUUAUAUUCGUGCAGCAGAAGAGUGGAAUAUCAAAAAUAUCAAAGUGUCCUAUUUUACAUCGAUGUUGCAGAGUUCUAGGGUUUAUGCAGAUAAAUUAGGGAUCAAGAUGGAGGCAAUAAAAAUAAUAGAUCGAACUUCGUUAAGGUGAUUUGCUAUGAACAAAUUGAAAAUUUUUGAAAACAGCUCCUGAUUUGUAAUGGGAAAUGGAUGAAACAACUGUAUGCCUGGAAGACCGGCUGAGAGCUGAAGGCAUCCUCAUAGUUGAUAUAAUAUCACUUAGGGGGUGUUUGGGAUUGCUUAUAAACAACUUAUUAACUUAUAACUUUUUGGAAAAUGAGUUUUUUAGAAAAUGAUGUUUGAGUAAUGGGUUGAAAAGGAGGUUUUAAGGCUUUGAAAAGGAGAAAUGGAAAAGUUAGGAGGGAGUGACUCUUUGGAAAAAGGAGAUAAGGAGGUGGAAAAGUUUGUUUUUCAUAAGCAAUCCCAAACACCCACUUAUAUUGAUUUCGAAUUUAUCCCGAUUAUGUUAUCUAAGCAAAUUGAAUGGACCUUUUCCUCGCUUCGCUAUUUGUAAUCAUUUACCUCUCUUCUAACUAUUUAUAGGUUUCUUUUUUAUGUUACUGUAACCAGUCUUAGUUUUUUAUGGCGCCACACCUGCUCUAAGUUGGAGAACUGUAAUUUCGUGUCACUUCCAUUUUGUUUGAUCUCUUCAUUGGUUUCAAAAACUAAAUCUCAUCCUUCAUCAAUGGCCCCAAAGAAAGGCGUCCAGGCAGUCGCAACUAAGACAGAUAUGGUAUGAGUAAGAGAUUGAAUCAGAGAUCGAUGGUUAGUUAAAGUUAUGUAUAACUCAUUAUAGGAAUGGAGCUUUUAUUUCUUUAUCCAAUCUGAAACUUCUAGAGUAUACUCUUUAAGGAUUUGUCUCUCUUUGAUUCUUUUAUUUGUUCUCAAAUUGUUGAACUUCUUUUACAUCAUUUGCUUGACUGUUGUGUAUACUCUAUGUCAUUUGUUUCUAAUGUGCAACAACUACCCUAUUCAAAGUUUGUGACAAUAGAGGACGAGGGAGAUGUGGCUAUGACUCUCAAUGGUUUACGUUGGAAGUUCUCCCAGGUUUUUGGUGAAUUUGUUGUAGAAGAAGCGGUUCAAGAAGGGAAGUAUGCGGUGUCAAAUGUUGGUGGCAUUACAGGUGUUUGCUGUUUUGCCUCUGAGAGUUAUGUUGAUGAUUCAAGAAAGAACUGAUUAAGUGGACCUUGGUCCUUUUAAGCAUACAAUUGACGAGGGAAUUGACUUAAGGAAAGCAACAUUUGAAUGUGUAGAUACAUUUCUUGAUACUUGCCUUGAUCAGUUGAACCCGACUUUCAUCUUUCAUUGUGUGUUACCUUAUCUGGUCUUCACGCAUCAUUGGAGGAUGGUUGUCAAUGUGCUUCUAAAAAUGUGGGAGUGGCGGAUGGAUCCAAGUAGGAGUGGUGCAUGGAUCCGGGUUUGAAAAUAGGUAUCUUAUUAUUAUUUAUCUAUUUAUGAGAGGUAAAAUUAUCUUAGAUCCUUUUAUGAUUCUAUGUACACCAGAGGUAGCUUAUUCCAUCAUAUUUAAAGUUUGGAUUAUGUGAGUAAUAUAACAGUCUAAUGCAAAGCCAUGUCAGCAAGCACCGAAAUAGAGGUAUUUACAAACCCGUUCCUCUUAUAUCAUUUUUUUUAUAUUGACCCAUUUAAGAUAACACAUAACCCAAAUCAACCCAUUCAUAAGUAUGUUAUAUUGUUAUGGAUCAAAACAUCGACUCUCGGACCUUUAUUAUUGAAAGUCACCUUAUUAGUGACGUUCAAAAUAUUUUUUAUUAUUAUUUUUCGUUGAAUAACGUGCCUCACAUAAUUUUAUGAAAGGAAUUUUGAUACUUUGACUGCUUAGUCAACAUGUGCUAAUGUUAGUGAUAGUAGCUACAAGAUAGUGGUAAAGAAAGAACUUAGCAAAGGUUGCAGAUCGUUCGAUAUUAUCAUCUGAACUGUUUCUUCUCCCCAUUAAUCAUAGGAUUCCUAAUUCGUAUCACUACAACAACGUCAAUACACCAGGGUUUGUCGUCUUCCAGCACAGAUCUUCAAAUGUGAUCUAAUGCUUCAUUAACAAGGUUAAUCUACAUGUUGGAUUCAAACGCAAAGUCACUAAUAAAUGAGUUUUAACAAGGAUUGCAUACCUGCAUUUGUUUUGAUUUUGAAAUUAUAGAUGGCGAUGGAUGUAUUAGCGGUACCAUUGCCAUAAAGUUCUUCGCCAUUUCCAAUUUAUCUCGACAAGAUCUCAAGCAGAUCGGUCGUUUGUUCCAUUUUUCUUGCUUUUAUACAGGUAUGUCAUCGAUUUUCCAAGAUUUUGUUUUUUAUGUGUUAAUAUCCCAAGUUAUCGUCAUUUUUGUGCUCCACGCCUAAUAUGAUUUUUUGACAACUUCUAUCAUUAAAAAUAUUUUUUCACUUUUCGUUUAAGUUUAAUUACUGUUAGUGUUCAGUAUCAAAUAAUUACUUUCAAAAUUCAUAGUUAUGAGUGAUAACAUGCUUUAACUUUUUAGAUAAAGAGUGAUCUUGAAGUGGUUAUACGAGAAUAUGCAUUCUUUAAACUCAUGACAAAAUCUAGAAAUGGAUUUAAAUGUUAUACAUGUUGGUUCAAUAGUAUAGAUACAACCCAUUUUUUAUCUAAGAUUAACACGUUUCUAUUUGAAAUAAUUGCAAAUUGAUGGAUUUUGUUCAUGUGCCAUUUUGGCAGCAUAUAUUAAGGACAAAAAAUAAUAUUAAACUUCCUAUAAGGUUAAACUAUUACAUUAAAAAAAAAAACUUCUCUGACUCCCUUUUGUGUGCUUCCCUUCUUCAUUUUCUAAUGCUAAGUGUUAGACAAUGCAUCAACAAAUCCAUAUGAAUUAAGUAUUAGGAUGUUUAUGAUAUUAGUUUUUAUUUUGGGGUUAUAUUUUAUAAAACCUGUUUCCAUGUUUCAGCAACCCCUUGGUAGCAAUGCUCCCGGUGAGAUGAAAAUGUAGUUAUCAUUCCAAAUAAUCAAUUAAAAGUAGGUGUAUACUGUGUUUAGUUAAGUUGACUUAUAUGUGUUGAAAAAGCUAUUAUGUGCUCUUUGGUAUAAUUGAAAAAACAUGAGUUGACUUCAGGAAGUCAACAGGUCAACAAGAGAAGACAAGGAUUUAAUCCAUUCUACAGGUUUUCGUUAAUAGACGUCACUUGAUAUCAUCCAUCGUCAAUGGUAUUGGGUAAUGAAUUAGUGAUUAAGAAUUCAGGACUUCGCAAUGAUUCACCUGAUGAAGAAACCGAUUGCUACUUUAUGCAAUAUGAGGAUGAACACUACAAGUUUAAUCAAGGUGUGUUACUCUGGGAAUGGAGCUAGGUAAGGACCCCUAAUAGCGUGGAAGAAAAUGAACAAUGGAGAGUAUCAACGGUUUACUAAUGCAGCAAAACAUAGGGGCGAGUAGUGAUUCAUGGUAGUGAAAAGAUGAUAAAGAGCUCAGAUUUUCAGUUAAAAAGUGAGGUUGGAUAUGGGUAGUAAAGUCGAUAUUAAUGCAGCAACGGAUGGUUACUACUGGAACAACGGGGCAACACCAAAAGCGAAUCUUUCUGCCUUGCUAUUCCGAACACGGAGGCAUUAGCAAAUAGAGGUAUGAUCCUGCCCUCAUUAUUGUGUAGGUUGUGUGAGCGAUCGGUAGAGACCGCGGACCAUGCCUUAGUACAAUGUUAGGUGGCACACAUGGUGUGGACAUAAGUGUAUGCAUGGCUGAGAAUUCCGUCGGGUGCUGGGACAAAUUCGGUGGGAAGUAGACUGCAAAAUGUAAGUAACUUGAGCUUAACGACAAAACGGAAAUGGAUAGUUCAUGUGAUUUUUUUACAGACUUUAUGGCGUCUAUGGAAGAAUAGAGAUGCUAAACUAUUUGAUGAUAGAGACAUUUUGGUAGCAAACUGACUGAAGAAAUAAAAAAGGAGUCGUUCAAGUGGUGUCGAUAGAGAUUAAAGGUAUCAAGUGUGUCUUGGUGUGAAUGAGGGCUAU